RNAcentral lists this ribosomal RNA (637 nucleotides) under uncultured bacterium. RNAcentral's name for it is "bacterial SSU rRNA". It matches the Rfam family "Bacterial small subunit ribosomal RNA", at positions 607 to 1244 of the family's 1533-position model. The record is from RNAcentral.
GCUCAACUGUGGAGGGUCAUUGGAAACUGGGAAACUUGAGUGCAGAAGAGGAAAGUGGAAUUCCAUGUGUAGCGGUGAAAUGCGCAGAGAUAUGGAGGAACACCAGUGGCGAAGGCGACUUUUUGGUCUGUAACUGACGCUGAUGUGCGAAAGCGUGGGGAUCAAACAGGAUUAGAUACCCUGGUAGUCCACGCCGUAAACGAUGAGUGCUAAGUGUUAGGGGGUUUCCGCCCUUUAGUGCUGCAGCAAACGCAUUAAGCACUCCGCCUGGGGAGUACGGUCGCAAGACUGAAACUCAAAGGAAUUGACGGGGGCCCGCACAAGCGGUGGAGCAUGUGGUUUAAUUCGAAGCAACGCGAAGAACCUUACCAGGUCUUGACAUCCUCUGACAACCCUAGAGAUAGGGCUUCCCCUUCGGGGGCAGAGUGACAGGUGGUGCAUGGUUGUCGUCAGCUCGUGUCGUGAGAUGUUGGGUUAAGUCCCGCAACGAGCGCAACCCUUGAUCUUAGUUGCCAGCAUUCAGUUGGGCACUCUAAGGUGACUGCCGGUGACAAACCGGAGGAAGGUGGGGAUGACGUCAAAUCAUCAUGCCCCUUAUGACCUGGGCUACACACGUGCUACAAUGGGCAGAACAAAG